Molecule: non-coding RNA, 23 nt
Filed under: Cricetulus griseus (Chinese hamster)
Lineage: Eukaryota; Metazoa; Chordata; Mammalia; Rodentia; Cricetidae
Source: RNAcentral
GCUUCUUGCUGUACAGACCUCUA